This 174-nucleotide non-coding RNA is filed under the name Sporolactobacillus nakayamae. Lineage: Bacteria; Bacillati; Bacillota; Bacilli; Caryophanales; Sporolactobacillaceae. The record is from RNAcentral.
UCCACUGUGAGGUGGAAUCUGGAGGAAGCCGGAGGCAAACUCCUGAGGUGACGAACAGAAACUGGAUACAAAGGCUGAAUGGGGAUGGAUAAGCCUGCCAAACAAGGUGAAGUCCGAUACUGUCCGAAUCUCUUACAGUAAAUCCAGCAUCUACAUGGGAGGAAAGUUGUCAUU